AGCUAUCCUAUGGAGUCCUUGAUCUGGAUCUUGAUGCUUCCAAAAUCAGAGAAUAGAUGAAUAUUACAGAAUUUUCCAACCCCUUUAACAGAAAAAUGCAGAAUCCUUAUAUAAUGAACGCAACCACGCCGCACGCCAGAUCCAUCACGCCGCGCGUGGUUGCACUUUCUUCAACGACGCCGCGCGUGUAACGGUAUCACGCGGCGCGUGAUCAAAUCUGAGGUCUCUGAUCUUCAACUCUGCCAUCUUCACGCCGCGCGUGAUAGCUCCACGCCCCCGGCGUAGUUGUUCCUCUUCUCUUCACGCCGCGCGUGGUCAAGUGCUACGCCGCGCGUGAUCAAGUCAGAGAGCAAUCCAAUUCCUGAACAAACUUUCACGCCGCGCGUGGUCAGGUAUCACGCCGCGCGUGAUCAAAUUGAAAACUUGGCUCCCUGUGAUCUCCAUCACGCGGCGCGUGAUGGGCUACGCCCCCAGCGUAGUGAAAAUCAGCAAUUUCCUGCAAUUUUUCCUGUUUUCUUGCAAAACAAGUAAUCAAGCUUAUGAUUAGAUUUCUCUUACAUUUAUUGCUUAAAACCUACUAAAAUGCAUUUAAUGUUGCUAAAAUAGGCAUGGAUUAGAGAGUGUGACGAUCCGUCAUCA
This 639-nucleotide long non-coding RNA is filed under the name Trifolium pratense (red clover). RNAcentral describes it as "long non-coding RNA (TPRA_LNC006818)". The record is from RNAcentral. Lineage: Eukaryota; Viridiplantae; Streptophyta; Magnoliopsida; Fabales; Fabaceae.